UAAAUUUUCCUCCCUUUGCAUUAUACCAAUUUUUUGAUCUUCUUUCCAUCUAGCACUUAGUUGCCCAUAUUGAAACCAAGUAUAAUUCCUCCCUUCUUCAUUUAAUACCUGUAAUGAUUUUAAUUGCAAGCUACCUCCUUCAGCAUACAAAAGUUCUUUAUAAGUAAUCAUUUCCUGUUUCUGUUCUAUAUUUAUAUUCUCUAUUGCAUGUCUGGGGCUCGCCCAUAUAGGAAUCUUAUAGUCUAGUUUAUAGGAAUAUUUUUUCCAGACCCGCAAAAGAGCACUUCUCAACACAUGACUCUUAAAAGCCCUAUCCACUUUUUUUUCAUAAAAUAAAUACGCAUGCCAUCCAUAUAAUAAGUCAUAACCUUCUAUAUUCAAAAUUCUUUCCUCCGUUAAAUUAAACCAGUCACUUAUUACUGAAAGGGCUACUGCUUCAUAAUAUAGUUUAAAAUUAGGCAUUUUUAGGCCUCCUCUUUCCCGUGAGUCCUGAAUUAUUUUCAUUUUAACCCUCGCCUUUUUACCUUGCCAUAUAAAUUUAUUAAUCCCAAUCUGCCAUUCCUCCAAUUUUUUAUCUUUCUUGAUUAUUGGUAUCAUUUUUAUUUUAUUUUUAUUUAUUUAUUUUUAUUUUAUUAGAUUUUUAUACCGCCCUUCUCCCGAAGGACUCAGGGCUGUGUACAGCCGAAAUAAAAUACAGAGUAUAUACAAUUAAAAGAAAUUAAAAGAAACUAUUAAUAAAUGCCCGAUAAUUUAAAAUUUACAAAUAUUUAAAAUCUCUAAAACCCCAAUUUAAAAUCAACUAUUUAUGCCAGUCCUGCUUGAGUGAAUAAGUAUGUUUUUAGCUCACGACGAAAGGUCCGAAGAUCAGGCACUUGACGUAAGCCAGGGGGGAGUUCGUUCCAGAGCGUCGGUGCUCCCACAGAGAAGGCCCUACCCCUGGGAGCCGCCAGCCGACAUUGUUUGGCGGACGGCACCCUGAGAAGGCCCUCUCUGUGAGAGCGUACGGGUCGAUGGGAGGCAUACGGUAACAGCAGGCGGUCUCGUAAGUACCCGGGUCCUAAGCCAUGGAGCGCUUUAAAGGUGGUAACCAGGAUCUUGAAACGCACCCGAAAGACCACAGGAAGGAACAGAAACAAAAAUCUAGGUAACACAUUCAUUUUAAUAUCUUUUUUGUUUCUUUUUUCUCAACAGCUCAAGGUUGACUCAGCCUUUUCGCCUUCUGAGAUAGUCCUUGGCUUAUGACAACAGCUGAGACCAGAAUUUCCAUCAAUCUCAACAUCUAGAGCAAAGGCUGUCAAACUCAGGCUGGAUGCACUGGCCAUGUCCAUGCCCGGUUUAGCAAAGGGGGAAAA
This is a long non-coding RNA of Ahaetulla prasina, 1352 nucleotides long. RefSeq lists it as uncharacterized. The record is from RefSeq and is a predicted model, not a curated record. Lineage: Eukaryota; Metazoa; Chordata; Lepidosauria; Squamata; Colubridae. The transcript has 3 exons.